GUAGGUGGCAAGCGUUGUCCGGAAUUAUUGGGCGUAAAGCGCGCGCAGGCGGUUCUUUAAGUCUGAUGUGAAAGCCCACGGCUCAACCGUGGAGGGUCAUUGGAAACUGGAGAACUUGAGUACAGAAGAGGAAAGCGGAAUUCCACGUGUAGCGGUGAAAUGCAUAGAGAUGUGGAGGAACACCAGUGGCGAAGGCGGCUUUCUGGUCUGUAACUGACGCUGAGGCGCGAAAGCGUGGGGGAGCAAACAGGAUUAGAUACCCUGGUAGUCCACGCCGUGAACGAUGAGUGCUAAGUGUUAGGGGGUUUCCGCCCCCCCCUUAGUGCUGCAGCUAACGCAUUAAGCACUCCGCCUGGGAGUACGGCCGCAAGGCUG
This 375-nucleotide ribosomal RNA is filed under the name uncultured organism. RNAcentral describes it as "partial 16S ribosomal RNA". It matches the Rfam family "Bacterial small subunit ribosomal RNA", at positions 527 to 896 of the family's 1533-position model. The record is from RNAcentral.